This 733-nucleotide ribosomal RNA is filed under the name uncultured Lactococcus sp. Its description in RNAcentral is "bacterial SSU rRNA". It matches the Rfam family "Bacterial small subunit ribosomal RNA", at positions 1 to 744 of the family's 1533-position model. The record is from RNAcentral. Lineage: Bacteria; Bacillati; Bacillota; Bacilli; Lactobacillales; Streptococcaceae.
CGCCCUUAGAGUUUGAUCAUGGCUCAGGACGAACGCUGGCGGCGUGCCUAAUACAUGCAAGUUGAGCGUUGGUACUUGUACCAAGAGCAGCGAACGGGUGAGUAACGCGUGGGGAAUCUGCCUUUGAGCGGGGGACAACAUUUGGAAACGAAUGCUAAUACCGCAUAAAAACUUAACACAAGUUUAAGUUGAAAGAUGAUUGCAUCACUCAAAGAUGAUCCCGCGUUGUAUUAGCUAGUUGGUGAGGUAAAGGCUCACCAAGGCGAUGAUACAUAGCCGACCUGAGAGGGUGAUCGGCCACAUUGGGACUGAGACACGGCCCAAACUCCUACGGGAGGCAGCAGUAGGGAAUCUUCGGCAAUGGACGAAAGUCUGACCGAGCAACGCCGCGUGAGUGAAGAAGGUUUUCGGAUCGUAAAACUCUGUUGGUAGAGAAGAACGUUGGUGAGGAAACUCAUCAAGUGACGGUAACUACCCAGAAAGGGACGGCUAACUACGUGCCAGCAGCCGCGGUAAUACGUAGGUCCCGAGCGUUGUCCGGAUUUAUUGGGCGUAAAGCGAGCGCAGUGGUUUAUUAAGUCUGGUGUAAAAGGCAGUGGCUCAACCAUUGUAUGCAUUGGAAACUGGUAGACUUGAGUGCAGGAGAGAGAGUGGAAUUCCAUGUGUAGCGGUGAAAUGCGUAGAUAUAUGGAGGAACACCGGUGGCGAAAGCGGCUCUCUGGCUGUAACUGAA